GUCCUGCAGACCAUCUUUGAAAAGAUAGUGGAGCUGACGUCAAAGCCUAUUGUGACGACUUUGUCAGUCAAUCCCAAACUCAAGUCGAAAGCGGACAUCCAUCUGAUCGUCCAGUCCCCCAGCACUGAGGCCGCCUUCAGAUCAAAGAUGGAGUUUGUCGUCAAACUCUGCAGGGAAUAUGACAUA
This is a long non-coding RNA of Physella acuta, 186 nucleotides long. RefSeq lists it as uncharacterized. NCBI's taxonomy places the organism in Eukaryota, Metazoa, Mollusca, Gastropoda, Physidae. The record is from RefSeq and is a predicted model, not a curated record.